GACGAACGCUGGCGGCGUGCCUAAUACAUGCAAGUAGAACGCUGAAGAGAGGAGCUUGCUCUUCUUGGAUGAGUUGCGAACGGGUGAGUAACGCGUAGGUAACCUGCCUGGUAGCGGGGGAUAACUAUUGGAAACGAUAGCUAAUACCGCAUGAUAUUGAAUAUCGCAUGAUAAUUAAUUGAAAGAUGCAAUUGCAUCACUACCAGAUGGACCUGCGUUGUAUUAGCUAGUUGGUGAGGUAACGGCUCACCAAGGCGACGAUACAUAGCCGACCUGAGAGGGUGAUCGGCCACACUGGGACUGAGACACGGCCCAGACUCCUACGGGAGGCAGCAGUAGGGAAUCUUCGGCAAUGGGGGGAACCCUGACCGAGCAACGCCGCGUGAGUGAAGAAGGUUUUCGGAUCGUAAAGCUCUGUUGUAAGAGAAGAACGGGUGUGAGAGUGGAAAGUUCACACUGUGACGGUAUCUUACCAGAAAGGGACGGCUAACUACGUGCCAGCAGCCGCGGUAAUACGUAGGUCCCGACCGUUGUCCGGAUUUAUUGGGCGUAAAGCGAGCGCAGGCGGUUAGAUAAGUCUGAAGUUAAAGGCUGUGGCUUACCAUAGUAUGCUUUGGAAACUGUUUUACUUGAGUGCAGAAGGGGGAGAGUGGAAUUCCAUGUGUGUCGGUUGAAAUGCUUAUAUGUAUGGAGGAACACCGGUUGUGUGAGCUGCUCUCUGGUCUGUUGCUGACGCUGAAGCUCGAAGCGUGGGAGGAACUGG
This 763-nucleotide ribosomal RNA is filed under the name uncultured Streptococcus sp. Its description in RNAcentral is "bacterial SSU rRNA". It matches the Rfam family "Bacterial small subunit ribosomal RNA", at positions 28 to 776 of the family's 1533-position model. The record is from RNAcentral. Lineage: Bacteria; Bacillati; Bacillota; Bacilli; Lactobacillales; Streptococcaceae.